Molecule: unclassified non-coding RNA, 251 nt
Filed under: Pyrenochaeta sp.
Lineage: Eukaryota; Fungi; Ascomycota; Dothideomycetes; Pleosporales; Cucurbitariaceae
Description: partial contains 5.8S ribosomal RNA, internal transcribed spacer 2, and large subunit ribosomal RNA
Source: RNAcentral
CGCACAUUGCGCCCCUUGGUAUUCCAUGGGGCAUGCCUGUUCGAGCGUCAUUUAUACCUUCAAGCUUUGCUUGGUGUUGGGUGUUUGUUCAUGCCCUUUUGUGCAUGGACUCGCCUUAAAUUCAUUGGCAGUCGGCAAUCUGGCGUCAGAGCGCAGCACAUUUUGCGCUCUUCGCCGUGCAUUGCGGCGUCCAUAAAGCCUAUAUUCUAGCGCUUGACCUCGGAUCAGGUAGGGAUACCCGCUGAACUUAA